This 433-nucleotide ribosomal RNA is filed under the name uncultured bacterium. RNAcentral's name for it is "partial 16S ribosomal RNA". It matches the Rfam family "Bacterial small subunit ribosomal RNA", at positions 29 to 507 of the family's 1533-position model. The record is from RNAcentral.
AACGAACGCUGGCGGCAGGCCUAACACAUGCAAGUCGAGCGAGCAUUUCGGUGCUAGCGGCGGACGGGUGAGUCACGCGUGGGAACGUGCCCUUUUCUGCGGAAUAGUCCUGGGAAACUGGGGGUAAUACCGCAUACGCCCUUUUGGGGAAAGAUUUAUCGGAGAAGGAUCGGCCCGCGUUGGAUUAGGUAGUUCGUUUGGUAAUGGCCCACCAAGCCGACGAUCCAUAGCUGGGUUGAGAGGAUGAUCAGCCACACUGGGACUGAGACACGGCCCAGACUCCUACGGGAGGCAGCAGUGGGGAAUCUUAGACAAUGGGGGCAACCCUGAUCGAGCCAUGCCGCGUGAGUGAUGAAGGCCGUAGGGUUGUAAAGCUCUUUCAGCUGGGAAGAUAAUGACGGUACCAGCAGAAGAAGCCCCGGCUAACUCCGUG